UGACUGAGCGGCGGACGGGUGAGUAACGCGUGGGUGACCUGCCCCAUACCGGGGGAUAACAGCUGGAAACGGCUGCUAAUACCGCAUAAGCGCACAGAGCUGCAUGGCUCGGUGUGAAAAACUCCGGUGGUAUGGGAUGGGCCCGCGUCUGAUUAGGCAGUUGGCGGGGUAACGGCCCACCAAACCGACGAUCAGUAGCCGGCCUGAGAGGGCGACCGGCCACAUUGGGACUGAGACACGGCCCAAACUCCUACGGGAGGCAGCAGUGGGGAAUAUUGCACAAUGGGGGAAACCCUGAUGCAGCGACGCCGC
RNAcentral lists this ribosomal RNA (312 nucleotides) under Blautia sp. CAG:37_48_57. RNAcentral describes it as "bacterial SSU rRNA". It matches the Rfam family "Bacterial small subunit ribosomal RNA", at positions 88 to 400 of the family's 1533-position model. The record is from RNAcentral. Lineage: Bacteria; Bacillati; Bacillota; Clostridia; Lachnospirales; Lachnospiraceae.